UCGGAAGUGCAGACACCUAGGAAUCCCUUAAGUCGAUAUUUUAGAAAAAAAGAGAAAUCCUAGAAAAUUCUCAGAAAAAAGUAAAACAUCUAGCGUCCUAGGUGGACACUUUAGAAAAAAAAGAGAAAUCUCAGAAAAUUCUUGUAAAAAAGCAAAAUAUCUAGCCAUCAAUUCGCUAGGCUCAAUCAUUAUAGCCAUUGGAUUUAAUAUAUUUUCUAAAAAAAUUAUCCACCUAUGAAAAUAGUCUAAAAUAAUUCCUAAAUCUAUAUCUAAAUUACCCACCUAUGCCAUUAUAUAAAAUAAACUAAAGUAACUGCUUAUCUUCAUCUAAAUUACCCACCUAUACCAUUAUAAAAAGUAAUUUAAAAUAACCCCUUAAAUUUGCAUCUAAAUUGCCCACCACUAACAUUAUAAAAAAUAAUUGUAUCUAAAUCACCCACGUAUACCAUUAUGAAAAUUUGAAAAUCACUUUCAUUAAAAAUAUACCCAGAGGGCAGAGGUACAUCAAUAUAUGAUUUUAAAGUAUAUACACGUGAUGUCUAUCACCAUUUAUAAAUAUAUAGAGGAAGCGAUGAGGAUAUAGAUUUUCAUGUUAAAAUAUAGCUCAAAUUUAGAGUCCAUAAAGAAAUUCAAGCGCAUACAUACAAUGUAAAGUGAAAAGAAAGAAAGAAUCUAAAUAUGGAUGAAAACAUCAUAGAGUAAUUACUAACUAAAGACUAUCAGAAUCGGUUGAAGAUAAUAAUUAUAUAUUUAUGUAAGUAUUAUGUUGGCAUAUUUAACAAAUAAGAGAGAGCUCAAGGUAACAAUUUUGAUAGUAAGCUAUGUGCCCUUAUUUUUCUAAAAUUUGAGACUGCGCAUUAAUUUUCACAAGAUGCAUUAAAAAAUUCUUACAAAAUUCAAAAAUAUCUGAGCAUCAGGCUCUAGUAAUCAUAGCCAUUAGUCUAUUAUGUUUUCUAAAAUUUACCCACCACUAUUAUUGUGAAAAUAUUUUAAUAGCAUAUGUGACAUACUUCCUCCAUCC
Molecule: long non-coding RNA, 1021 nt
Filed under: Setaria viridis
Lineage: Eukaryota; Viridiplantae; Streptophyta; Magnoliopsida; Poales; Poaceae
Description: long non-coding RNA (SVIR_LNC002815)
Source: RNAcentral